CCUACGGGAGGCAGCAGUGGGGAAUAUUGCACAAUGGGGGAAACCCUGAUGCAGCGACGCCGCGUGAGUGAAGAAGUAAUUCGUUAUGUAAAGCUCUAUCAGCAGGGAAGAAAAUGACGGUACCUGAGUAAGAAGCCCCGGCUAACUACGUGCCAGCAGCCGCGGUAAUACGUAGGGGGCAAGCGUUAUCCGGAUUUACUGGGUGGAAAGGGAGCGUAGACGGCAGUGCAAGUCUGGAGUGAAAGGCGGGGGCUCAACCCCCGGACUGCUCUGGAAACUGUACGGCUGGAGUGCAGGAGAGGUAAGUGGAAUUCCUGGUGUAGCGGUGAAAUGCGUAGAUAUUAGGAGGAACACCAGUGGCGAAGGCGGCUUACUGGACUGUAACUGACGUUGAGGCUCGAAAGCGUGGGGAGCAAACAGGAUUAGAUACCCCAGUAGUC
RNAcentral lists this ribosomal RNA (440 nucleotides) under uncultured bacterium. RNAcentral describes it as "partial 16S ribosomal RNA". It matches the Rfam family "Bacterial small subunit ribosomal RNA", at positions 338 to 795 of the family's 1533-position model. The record is from RNAcentral.